UUGUAACUAAAUUUGGAUCAAAUAACGUGCAACUAGUUUAGUAAUGGAGUAAGGUUGUUCAAUGGGCUUUCGAAUCAAUUUACAUUCACCUGCAGUUGGUGGCCUAAUCUCUGCAUUUUUCCUUAGGUUGGAGAUGUGCGUCCGAAGGUGCCGGAGCGGGAUUUUACUGGCACUGCUUAUGUUCCUGUUUAUGUGAUGCUGCCGCUAAGUGUCAUUGACAUGAAUUGUGAGUUGGUUGAUCCUGAAGAUCUACUGAACCAGCUGAGGAUCUUGAAAUCAGCAAAUGUUGAUGGUGUUAUGAUUGAUUGUUGGUGGGGGGUAGUGGAGGCUCAUGCUCCGCAGGUGUAUAAAUGGAGUGGUUACAGGAGGCUCUUUCAGAUGGUGCGUGAUCUUAAGCUUAAGUUGCAGGUGAGUAUAUAUAUAUAUAUAUAUGUAUAUGUAUAUAUUCUGUGUUGCUAUGAUUGGUCUGUCAUAAGCUAUGAAUCAAGAUCACAGAUUCUGAUGGUAAAAAAUGAAUUAUUUGGGAAAGAACCUAAAGCCUGUAUGGCGACUCACAUCUUAAACUCCAAUCUGUUAUGUUUCACCUCUC
Long non-coding RNA from Populus nigra (black poplar), 589 nucleotides. RefSeq lists it as uncharacterized. Lineage: Eukaryota; Viridiplantae; Streptophyta; Magnoliopsida; Malpighiales; Salicaceae. The transcript is spliced from 2 exons. The record is from RefSeq and is a predicted model, not a curated record.